RNAcentral lists this ribosomal RNA (936 nucleotides) under Thaxterogaster castoreus. Its description in RNAcentral is "Cortinarius castoreus partial large subunit ribosomal RNA". It matches the Rfam family "Eukaryotic large subunit ribosomal RNA", at positions 39 to 961 of the family's 3401-position model. The record is from RNAcentral. Lineage: Eukaryota; Fungi; Basidiomycota; Agaricomycetes; Agaricales; Cortinariaceae.
CAUAUCAAUAAGCGGAGGAAAAGAAACUAACAAGGAUUCCCCUAGUAACUGCGAGUGAAGCGGGAAAAGCUCAAAUUUAAAAUCUGGCAGCCUCUGGCUGUCCGAGUUGUAAUCUAGAGAAGCGUUAUCCGCGCUGGACCGUGUACAAGUCUCCUGGAAUGGAGCGUCAUAGAGGGUGAGAAUCCCGUCUUUGACACGGACUGCCAGGGCUUUGUGAUGCGCUCUCAAAGAGUCGAGUUGUUUGGGAAUGCAGCUCAAAAUGGGUGGUAAAUUCCAUCUAAAGCUAAAUAUUGGCGAGAGACCGAUAGCGAACAAGUACCGUGAGGGAAAGAUGAAAAGAACUUUGGAAAGAGAGUUAAACAGUACGUGAAAUUGCUGAAAGGGAAACGCUUGAAGUCAGUCGCGUUGGCCGGGGAUCAACCUUGCUUUUGCUUGGUGUACUUUCUGGUUGACGGGUCAGCAUCAAUUUUGAUCAUUGGAAAAAGAUUAGGGGAAUGUGGCAUCUUCGGAUGUGUUAUAGCCCUUGGUUGUAUACAAUGAUUGGGAUUGAGGAACUCAGCACGCCGCAAGGCCGGGUUUUUAACCACGUACGUGCUUAGGAUGCUGGCAUAAUGGCUUUAAUCGACCCGUCUUGAAACACGGACCAAGGAGUCUAACAUGCCUGCGAGUGUUUGGGUGGAAAACCCGAGCGCGUAAUGAAAGUGAAAGUUGAGAUCCCUGUCGUGGGGAGCAUCGACGCCCGGACCAGAUCUUUUGUGACGGUUCCGCGGUAGAGCAUGUAUGUUGGGACCCGAAAGAUGGUGAACUAUGCCUGAAUAGGGUGAAGCCAGAGGAAACUCUGGUGGAGGCUCGUAGCGAUUCUGACGUGCAAAUCGAUCGUCAAAUUUGGGUAUAGGGGCGAAAGACUAAUCGAACCAUCUAGUAGCUGGGUUCCUG